AGCGAACGCUGGCGGUAGGCCUAACACAUGCAAGUCGAACGGCAGCACAGUAAGAGCUUGCUCUUACGGGUGGCGAGUGGCGGACGGGUGAGGAAUACAUCGGAAUCUACUUUUUCGUGGGCGAUAGCGUAGGGAAACUUACGCUAAUACCGCAUACGACCUACGGGUGAAAGCAGGGGAUCUUCGGACCUUGCGCGAUUGAAUGAGCCGAUGUCGGACUAGCUAGUUGGCGGGGUAAAGGCCCACCAAGGCGACGAUCCGUAGCUGGUCUGAGAGGAUGAUCAGCCACACUGGAACUGAGACACGGUCCAGACUCCUACGGGAGGCAGCAGUGGGGAAUAUUGGACAAUGGGCGCAAGCCUGAUCCAGCCAUACCGCGUGGGUGAAGAAGGCCUUCGGGUUGUAAAGCCCUUUUGUUGGGAAAGAAAAGCAGCAGGUUAAUACCCCGCUGUUCUGACGGUACCCAAAGAAUAAGCACCGGCUAACUUCGUG
This 492-nucleotide ribosomal RNA is filed under the name uncultured bacterium. RNAcentral's name for it is "partial 16S ribosomal RNA". It matches the Rfam family "Bacterial small subunit ribosomal RNA", at positions 29 to 507 of the family's 1533-position model. The record is from RNAcentral.